GUGAAAACAUUUAGGAAUGAGCUCUCUUAAAGGAAGAGUAGAAAGUUGUUAAAAAGCAGCCAAAUGGUGACUCUGAUUUGGCCCUUUCUAGGGACUGUUUUCAAAUAAAAUUUUUUUUUUAAUGAUAACUUAUUGAUUUGCUUCAAUGCUGUUCUAUUUUCUAGCUCAUUGAUAAGGAUGUUCCUCUUACUUUUGAUUAAGCUUUGCCGCAUAGGACUUUGAUCUUCAAGGACAGAAUUACAAAAAUAAACAACUAUUUUAUAUUCCAAAAUACAUUAUGACUGAUCCUUUUCCCAAGUAUAUAAGCAAAAGAUGGGAAACUUUUUCUGUAAAGGACCAGCAUUUGCAGGACAUAUGGUCUCUGUCACAAAUACUCAACUCGACUGUUGCAGAGUGGAAAAAUAGCCAUAGACAAUAUAGAGACGAAGGGCACCUUUUCAGUGGAGAAACCUGGCAGAUACCAAGGUCCUCUCCCCUGGGCCUUGCUGAGGUUCUGUGUGAAGCUGAGCUCGGCAUGAUCUCCCUGCUGCCAUGCGAGGUUCCCCACGCGCACCGGGAGCCCACGGUACCGCUGGGCUGUCCUUUCUGAGCACCUGGAGCAGACUGCAAUUAAUCAGGGUGCCAGCCUGUUCGCAAGCCUGCUAUCUAUAUUCCCUCCAGGACAGAGACUAAUCUUUCCUCAAAGAGCCAAGUAGGGACAUGAGCAUUUUCCUUCUCGUAAAUCUGCCAGAAAUUUCAGAACGAUCUAAAAGUGUUAAAGACUAUAUGCAGAAAGCAUGUAGAUCUGGAUUCUUCCCUUUGUCCACACUUGCAUUUCCUCGCUCCUCCUUCUCUGGCCAGCAUCCCCUUUCACACACUGUUGGACAUGACCACAACUGUGCAUUUCUUCUUGACAGCCAACUUAAGUCCUUCCUACAUUUUCAGGAUAGUGGGUGGAAGGUUUUUCUCAGGAGCGUUGUAUGGAAGCCAGCAAGGGACAAUUAUAUAGGGAGGUAACCUUCUAUUAUACUAGGGUUUUUGCGGUUACAGGCAGUCAAAGCCAGAUAGAAAUGUAAAGAAACGAGCCUAUGUUAACACAGCUGUGUACAAGGAUAUGCCCUAAAGGCCUGGGGUUUGGGAUGGAAAAGGUUUGGGAUGUUUCCUUUUCUCUUUCCAUUGACAACAAAAUCUGCUGUUUCCUUUUGAGAUUUUUGGGAAAGAGAUGGCAGAUGAUGAGGUUAGGACAUAGAUGUGUGAAUACUGCAGCUGUUAACCCCAAAGCACAAUUGAUUCACUGUUAUUGGUCUAAAAACAAAAUAGAAAUGAUCCAAACAUAGCUGAAUAUAGGCUACAAUCUAGUUUCUUCUUUUAUUACAGUCUUUGGCUAUCAAUGGUCCUUUUGCCUUUCCCUUAGGGAACAGGAAAGACAGAGACUGACAUGAAUCAGUGUAACAUUUAAACCACAGUGCUAGCUAGCAUGACUGUGAUAGCCAUCUCGACGUGAUGUCAUAAGUAGCUGGUGUUGCCAUGGCAACACUACAAUGGUAAACAAAGAUGUUUUCUGGAUGGCUAGAGUAAAGGUGGCUUUUAUGCUGUCUCACACCCUCCUGCCCCUGACCCCCUACCAUGGAUAGGAAAGAUUUUCUUUUCUUUUGCUAUGCAUUUUUCACCUUCAGAUGAAAUAAGCGAGGUGAGCCGCUAUUUUCUUCUUCUGUUUAUUUCUAUGUUCCACAAUUUUAUGAUGCUGGAAAUUUUGUUGAAACAACCACUCAAUUUAGAAAAUAUGAUAUUGCAUGUUGACUUCUAAAAUCCCCUGUUGUGUGGCAUUGCUAAGAAAGCAUGAGGGGAAAUUCUGUUAUGUGAAAUCUCAGGGCUAUGACAAGUUUGACAAGAUGAGCUUGAAUGACCUUACCUCAUGUGGUCACACAGCCAAGUCUACUAUCGAGGUUCUCAAAAGCAGAUAAGGCACAUGAGGAAUGGUUCUCUUGAGACAAAUGCUGAGCUGCUGUAGCUGGAGUAGAAAAAAUAAAUCUAGGACAUUUUAAAGCACUGUUUAACGAGUAAAAUAAUGCAAUGUGAAGAAUGAUGGAGGACAGGCAAACGUGGGGUUUUAUAAUUUUUCUGUAAGCUUUACAAUAAAGAUUACAAAUCAUUAAUGUUUUAUGAAAGCAAAUAUGUAUUUUAAAAUUCAACCAGGAAAGGAAGAUGGAAGGAAAUAUAAUGUGCCCCAAAAAAGCAUUCAUUAAACUGUUUAUUGGUGAA
This is a long non-coding RNA of Equus caballus (horse), 2241 nucleotides long. The record is from Ensembl. NCBI's taxonomy places the organism in Eukaryota, Metazoa, Chordata, Mammalia, Perissodactyla, Equidae.